Tribolium castaneum (red flour beetle) is the source of this 1030-nucleotide long non-coding RNA. RefSeq lists it as uncharacterized. The transcript is spliced from 3 exons. The record is from RefSeq and is a predicted model, not a curated record. Lineage: Eukaryota; Metazoa; Arthropoda; Insecta; Coleoptera; Tenebrionidae.
UGCAACUAUUUUCACCAUCACGUUAGAAGCGAAAAAUUGUAGUGAAUAACCAUUAAUAAAGCAUUUUAUUACGUACAAAGUACAUAUCAGGACAUCGGUAAACAAUGUAUCAUUUCCAAGAACAUGCGGCACCUUUCCCAGCUUAAUUUGUCCGCAUACCUACGAUAGAAUUUACGAUUUCAAAAGCUAAGUGAAAAAUUGAAAUCUGAAAUACACCAUCAUACAUUCAGAAGCAUUCCAUGGAUUUUUUCGAAAAGUAACGACAACGAGAAGAAGAAAUUCUCCUUAGAAUUAUUUCCCGUUCUCAACAAUCGUAAAAACCCAAUUAUUAAAAAAAACUAAUCAGAUGUGUAUUUUUUAUUUAUAAAAGAGUAAAGUCGGAAACAGCACAUCAUUGGUUCAAAAUGCACUGUAGCAAUUAUUGUUUUUCUAAAGUAAUCAGGGUAAAAAAUGUAAAAGCUUCUUUAAUGAUAAGCGAUCAGUGUAUAUGUUAUGUGGUACGAUUUCUUAUUAAGAUUUCAAACACGUUUUUAUUUGUAAUAAUUAGGUACUGGAUUGAUUUUUAUUUUCACACUUAAAAAAGACCUAUACAUUCCUUUUCAUUUUACAGUACAAUGCAUUUGCACUUUUUGGAGUGAAGUGGAGUACAAAUUGAGUUUUCUUGGCUCAAAAUUUGUCCCUUGGAUUUUGUUUAACACAUAAUUCUUCUGUUAUACAGGAACUCUCAAUUUGUGCUUUAUUUCACUCGAAAAAUUUACAAUACAGUGAACUGAAAUGGGAUAUACACAGAAAUUCGUAAGAGGCUUAUUAGCACAAACAGAAUGAUUUUAAAAAAUUGUGGAGGAAUUUCAAAGAUGAUAGAAUGCGGAAAUAAUUUGCUUUAUCAGAAUGGCUAUAAUUAUGCAUUUUGUACGAACUUUCAGACACUAAAAAUAUCUGCAAGACUACUGUUUAAAGUCACUGCUCAAGUUGGUGUGUUUUCUGUAUUAAUAGUGUGCUACUAUUAAUAAACUUAUUAACCCCGUCUCUU